AGUACAUCCGGGGGGAGACGUUUUCUGCACAAGUCCGACCCCUCCCUUUGCGAGCAUGCUUUCUGUAGCCAGACCAGUCGGACUCGAAAUAUUUGCAUUUAGCAUGGCUGGAAGGAGAUUAUUAAGUGCAUGUUUUAGGUGCAGUGUUGUGAUUCACGACUUGAGUUUGCAGAAGAAAUGACUUCCCCCUAGAUUGAAGUCAUGAAGGUGAAUAUUGGAGCCAUGUGACAAGGCCGCACCGGCGCGGAAAUGUGCUGGCCCGGUAAUAAACCCGGAUCGAUGCGGUGUUUUUGAGGCGGUUGCACAUUCACACGUGGGCUGGAGGAUGGCGUACUUUCAGAUGAAGGUUGGCCGAGGCCUCUUAUGACUUUAUGACAGAUUGCAGGAGAGGAUUGAUUCCUGGAAUAGCAAAUGGGGAAUAAAAGCUUUGACUGCAGUGCUCAAGAAACAGAGGCACUACUGGAAAUUACAAUGUUACACCAUGAUUCUUGGGUUACAUGUGUUUUUGAACCAGAAGAUAUACAUACACUUAUUUUUCUGGAUGUAACAAAUGCCCUGUAUGAAUAAAGCAUUUUUCAACAAA
This is a long non-coding RNA of Dicentrarchus labrax (European seabass), 583 nucleotides long. RefSeq lists it as uncharacterized. The record is from RefSeq and is a predicted model, not a curated record. The transcript is spliced from 4 exons. Lineage: Eukaryota; Metazoa; Chordata; Actinopteri; Moronidae.